AUAUAUAUAGUUGGAUUAGGAAAAUUUUAAUGAAAUGAGUAGAUUAGUAAAUAUUUCAGUGGAUACGGGAGGAUCCGACCCGAAUUCUUAUAAACCCAUAUUCGAAACCGAAUCCGAGUCGGGUUAUAUAUUUACAUCCAGAUCCGACCCAUAUUGUUAUUCGGGUUUAAUUUUAAGAUCCAAACCCGGUAAUAUGGAUUCGGAUAUGGUCGGGUUCGGGUUUCAACCCGCACUAUUUACAUCCC
RNAcentral lists this long non-coding RNA (245 nucleotides) under Aquilegia coerulea. RNAcentral's name for it is "long non-coding RNA (ACOE_LNC000964)". The record is from RNAcentral. Lineage: Eukaryota; Viridiplantae; Streptophyta; Magnoliopsida; Ranunculales; Ranunculaceae.